This 353-nucleotide long non-coding RNA is filed under the name Piliocolobus tephrosceles (Ugandan red Colobus). RNAcentral describes it as "lncRNA (ENSPTEG00000034806.1)". Lineage: Eukaryota; Metazoa; Chordata; Mammalia; Primates; Cercopithecidae. The record is from RNAcentral.
UUUAUUUAUAUUUAUUCUUAAUUUUUGUGAGUACAUGUGUAGGUUUAUAUGUUUAUAGCAUUUGUGGUUUAUUUUUUGAAAGAAAUAUUUUUCUCUUCUACAAGCAGCUUCUGAAAGACGAAGAUGAAGAUUACAUGAUUCCUAGGAGGAGAAGGAGGCCCCGGGUCAGCUCAGCUGGGCCUGACCACCAUCAUCAGGCCAAGGAAGAGAAAAUGGCAUGGAACCCUUUCUCAGGAAUGAGACUCUUCUGCUACCUUUGUGAGUCCCUCCCUCAGUCCCAGCACCAAAAUCUUCCCUCCAGAUACUCACUGCAACCUGUCCUGAAAUGAUUGUUGCUGAAUUAUUUUUACUUC